AGCAGCCGCGGUAAUUCCAGCUCCAAUAGCGUAUAUUAAAGUUGUUGCAGUUAAAAAGCUCGUAGUUGAGUUUCGGGGUCAGUAGGUUGGUCAUGCCACUGGUAUGUACUGGUCUCACUGAUUCCUCCUUCCUGAUGAACUGUAAUGCCAUUAAUUUGGUGUUGCAGGGAAUCUGGACUGUUACUUUGAAAAAUUAGAGUGUUUAAAGCAGGCUAACGCCUGAAUACAUUAGCAUGGAAUAAUGAAAUAGGACGUUCGAUCCUAUUUUGUUGGUUUCUAGGAUUGACGUAAUGAUUAAUAGGGAUAGUUGGGGGCAUUAGUAUUCAAUUGUCAGAGGUGAAAUUCUUGGAUUUAUUGAAGACUAACUACUGCGAAAGCAUUUGCCAAGGAUGUUUUCAUUAAUCAAGAACGAAAGUUAGGGGAUCGAAGACGAUCAGAUACCGUCGUAGUCUUAACCAUAAACUAUGCCGACUAGGGAUCGGAUGAUGUUAAUUUUUAAUGUACUCAUUC
Molecule: ribosomal RNA, 510 nt
Filed under: uncultured Glomus
Lineage: Eukaryota; Fungi; Glomeromycota; Glomeromycetes; Glomerales; Glomeraceae
Description: SSU rRNA
Rfam family: Eukaryotic small subunit ribosomal RNA
Source: RNAcentral